RNAcentral lists this long non-coding RNA (1206 nucleotides) under Mus musculus (house mouse). Its description in RNAcentral is "predicted gene 12320". The record is from RNAcentral. Lineage: Eukaryota; Metazoa; Chordata; Mammalia; Rodentia; Muridae.
GCACUGGAGAUGGAGCAGAGGUAACAAACUGAACCACAUGGCGGAGCUUGUCACCUUCACGGAAUUUCUACAAAAGUCACCAAUUUCCCCAGCAGAUUGGCGUUUGCUUUGUGUAUAGAGAUGCCUUCCGAUGGCACCUGGCUCCGUGCUCCUGGUGGGGACAUAACGUUGAGUCUACAGAAUCAUGUGAGGAGUUUUGGACUGCUCCCCUGGUUUUGUUACUCUCUGGGGUGGAAACAAAGUGUGAACUACAGCUGACAGAUUUCCAACAUUUAUGACACUCAGUGUUUAACCUCCAUGGUGUUCCCUGAUGUGGAAUGAGAGCCAUGUUCUGCUGAAAGGCUUGCCAUAGUAGAGAUUUCCCCAGGCGUGUUUGCUGACACUGAAGAUCAAACCCAUAGCUAAAGACUCCUCCACACUCAGUGUGCUCCCACGGUUUCUCCCUAAUGAACCCUCUGCAGUUGAACAUGUAUAAGCCUCCCCCAGAAAGUUUUCCCCACUUAUUCCUCUUCACCACUGUGAUCCUCUGACACCCAAAGUGUGUCCCACUUUCUUCAUAUUCACAAAACUAGAACAAUAUUGCAUCAGCUACUUGCUGUAACAAAACACUGUGACCAAGGGAACUCAUAAAAAGAAGAGUUUCUUUGGCUUAGAGUCCCAGAGGAUUGGAAUGCCUGACGGAGGAGCAAGGACACAGGAGCAGGAACAUGAAUCACAGAGCUCACAGUUUGAGCUGCAGGAAUGAAAAGAGACAACGAACUCAAAAUGACAUGUGACUUUUGGAACCUCAAAGUCUUUCCCCGGUGACAUCAUUCCUUCAGCAAGACCACACCUCCCAAACCUUCUCAAACAGCUCCUCCAACUGAAGACCAAGUGUUCAAACCGCUGAGCCUGUGGGGCACAUUCUCAGUCAAAGCAUCACAAGUAUCAUCUAGAUACAUCUAACGACAGAUGCUCAGGGCUUCUGGUGGGCCAUGGGGCUGGGAGGAGGGAGGUACUUGGGAAGACACAACCGGGUAGGAAAUGGUAUCUUUGCAUAGAGAAACCACUCACUUGUUAAGUCAAGCUAGGUGCACCCAUGUCGGAUGGGCAGUGCAAUCUGUAACCACAGGGCUUUCCUACCCAGCCUCUUUGUUCCCCGAAAUAAUGGCUCUGAGCCUUAAUAUUUCGUGAAUAAAUGCCAAAAGCUUUGGCUUGUUCCCCGAC